GUGCUCACUUUGGCUGCAGACAUACUACAAUUGGAACAAUGCAGAGAAGAUUAGCAUGACGUCUACACAUGGACGACACAUAAAUUUGUGUAGCUAUCUAUAUUUUU
This is a small nuclear RNA of Loxodonta africana (African savanna elephant), 107 nucleotides long. Lineage: Eukaryota; Metazoa; Chordata; Mammalia; Proboscidea; Elephantidae. The record is from Ensembl.